UACUACUAUUAAACAAUCAAAUAAGAACUUUCUUACGCGCACCCCGCAAUUAGUCCCACAAUAACGCACGAGCCAAUCAGCACCACACGAUUAGGCCAACAAGUCUCAAUCUAACAGCCAUCAUUAAUCCAAUACCUCUACGGUGUGCACUUAGCAUUUACCAAUGACUGACCAUACUUCACCAGGAGAGUAGUAGUCGAACAACCAGCCCCGCGCGUCCCUACAAUCACGGAAAUCAGAUCGCAAACUAACAACCAGCUCAGCGUGCCCUACAAUCACGGAAAAUCAGAUCGCAAGCUAAGGGAACUUCACGCCCUUGACCUUGAC
Molecule: long non-coding RNA, 327 nt
Filed under: Triticum aestivum (bread wheat)
Lineage: Eukaryota; Viridiplantae; Streptophyta; Magnoliopsida; Poales; Poaceae
Description: long non-coding RNA (TAES_LNC025020)
Source: RNAcentral